UACGUAGGGAGCGAGCGUUAUCCGGAAUUAUUGGGCGUAAAGGGUGCGUAGAUGGUUGAUAUAAGUCUUUUGUAAAAAUGCUAGGCUCAACCUAGUAGGGCAAAAGAUACUGAUGAACUAGAGUACGGCAGAGGCAAGUGGAACUACAUGUGUAGCGGUAAAAUGCGUAAAUAUAUGUAAGAACACCGGUGGCGAAGGCAGCUCACUGGACUGCAACUGACACUGAGGCUCGAAAGUGUGGGUAUCAAACAGG
This 253-nucleotide ribosomal RNA is filed under the name uncultured Anaeroplasma sp. RNAcentral describes it as "partial 16S ribosomal RNA". It matches the Rfam family "Bacterial small subunit ribosomal RNA", at positions 524 to 776 of the family's 1533-position model. The record is from RNAcentral. Lineage: Bacteria; Bacillati; Mycoplasmatota; Mollicutes; Anaeroplasmatales; Anaeroplasmataceae.